RNAcentral lists this ribosomal RNA (498 nucleotides) under uncultured bacterium. RNAcentral's name for it is "partial 16S ribosomal RNA". It matches the Rfam family "Bacterial small subunit ribosomal RNA", at positions 29 to 523 of the family's 1533-position model. The record is from RNAcentral.
AUUGAACGCUGGCGGCAUGCCUUACACAUGCAAGUCGAACGGUAACGCGGGGCAACCUGGCGACGAGUGGCGAACGGGUGAGUAAUGCAUCGGAACGUGCCCAGAAGUGAGGGAUAGCCCGGCGAAAGCCGGAUUAAUACCGCAUGAGACCUGAGGGUGAAAGCGGGGGAUCGCAAGACCUCGCGCUUUUGGAGCGGCCGAUGUCAGAUUAGCUAGUUGGUGGGGUAAAGGCCUACCAAGGCGACGAUCUGUAGCUGGUCUGAGAGGACGACCGGCCACACUGGGACUGAGACACGGCCCAGACUCCUACGGGAGGCAGCAGUGGGGAAUUUUGGACAAUGGGCGCAAGCCUGAUCCAGCCAUGCCGCGUGCGGGAAGAAGGCCUUCGGGUUGUAAACCGCUUUUGUCAGGGAAGAAACGCUCUGGGCUAAUACCCUGGGGUAAUGACGGUACCUGAAGAAUAAGCACCGGCUAACUACGUGCCAGCCGCCGCCGUAA